RNAcentral lists this ribosomal RNA (253 nucleotides) under uncultured bacterium. Its description in RNAcentral is "partial 16S ribosomal RNA". It matches the Rfam family "Bacterial small subunit ribosomal RNA", at positions 524 to 776 of the family's 1533-position model. The record is from RNAcentral.
UACGGAAGGUGCAAGCGUUAAUCGGAAUUACUGGGCGUAAAGCGCGCGUAGGCGGUCCGGUAAGUCGGGUGUGAAAGCCCUGGGCUCAACCUGGGAAUUGCAUUCGAUACUGUCGGGCUAGAGUGUGGUAGAGGGGGGUGGAAUUCCAGGUGUGGCGGUGAAAUGCGUAGAGAUCUGGAGGAACACCAGUGGCGAAGGCGGCCCCCUGGACCAACACUGACGAUGAGGUGCGAAAGAGUGGGUAGCAAACAGG